RNAcentral lists this long non-coding RNA (231 nucleotides) under Manihot esculenta (cassava). RNAcentral's name for it is "long non-coding RNA (MESC_LNC000325)". The record is from RNAcentral. Lineage: Eukaryota; Viridiplantae; Streptophyta; Magnoliopsida; Malpighiales; Euphorbiaceae.
GGAGGAACCAUAUCUGAAACCAUACUAUGAAGGGUUCACAAUGCAAGUAGUGGAAGAAAUUCCACUACACCAUCCCACUCAUUCUGCUUAAGUGGAUCGCACCAUGCACACCACACCCAGGGGAGUACUCAGUUUCCUUUGCUCUUUUAUUUUUCUUACACAUUGAGGACAAUGCAUGAUUUAGGUGUGGGGCUGCAUAUCUCUGAAUAUUUUCUUCUUCUUCUUCUUCUC